GGAGAUGGCUCAGUGGUAGAGUGCUUGCCUUGCAUGCAUGAGGUCCUGAGUUCGAUUCCUCAGCACCA
RNAcentral lists this transfer RNA (68 nucleotides) under Dipodomys ordii (Ord's kangaroo rat). It matches the Rfam family "tRNA". From Rfam's summary of the family: Transfer RNA (tRNA) molecules are approximately 80 nucleotides in length. Their secondary structure includes four short double-helical elements and three loops (D, anti-codon, and T loops). Further hydrogen bonds mediate the characteristic L-shaped molecular structure. tRNAs have two regions of fundamental functional importance: the anti-codon, which is responsible for specific mRNA codon recognition, and the 3' end, to which the tRNAs corresponding amino acid is attached (by aminoacyl-tRNA synthetases). tRNAs cope with the degeneracy of the genetic code in two manners: having more than one tRNA (with a specific anti-codon) for a particular amino acid; and 'wobble' base-pairing, i.e. permitting non-standard base-pairing at the 3rd anti-codon position. The record is from Rfam by way of RNAcentral. Lineage: Eukaryota; Metazoa; Chordata; Mammalia; Rodentia; Heteromyidae.